GUGAACGCUGGCGGUAGGCCUAACACCUGCAAGUCGAACGGCAGCACCGUAAUUGCUUGCUCUUACGGGUGGCGAGUGGCGGACUGGUGAGGAAUACAUCGGAAUCUACUUUUUCGUGGGGGAUAACGUAGGGAAACUUACGCUAAUACCGCAUACGACCUACGGGUGAAAGCAGGGGAUCUUCGGACCUUGCGCGAGUGAAUGAGCCGAUGUCGGAUUAGCUAGUUGGCGGGGUAAAGGCCCACCAAGGCGACGAUCCGUAGCUGGUCUGAGAGGAUGAUCAGCCACACUGGAACUGAGACACGGUCCAGACUCCGACGGGAGGCAGCAGGGGGGAAUAUUGGACAAUGGGCGCAAGCCUGAUCCAGCCAUACCGCGUGGGUGAAGAAGGCCUUCGGGUGGUAAAGCCCUUUUGUUGGGAAAGAAAAGCAGCAGGUUAAGACCCCGCUGUUCUGACGGUACCCAAAGAAUAAGCACCGGCUAACUUCGU
Molecule: ribosomal RNA, 490 nt
Filed under: uncultured bacterium
Lineage: Bacteria
Description: partial 16S ribosomal RNA
Rfam family: Bacterial small subunit ribosomal RNA
Source: RNAcentral